CAGCAGCCACGGUAAUACGUAGGUGGCAAGCGUUGUCCGGAAUUAUUGGGCGUAAAGGGCUCGCAGGCGGUUUCUUAAGUCUGAUGUGAAAGCCCCCGGCUCAACCGGGGAGGGUCAUUGGAAACUGGGAAACUUGAGUGCAGAAGAGGAGAGUGGAAUUCCACGUGUAGCGGUGAAAUGCGUAGAGAUGUGGAGGAACACCAGUGGCGAAGGCGACUCUCUGGUCUGUAACUGACGCUGAGGAGCGAAAGUGUGGGGAGCGAACAGGAUUAGAUACCCGUGUAGUCCCUGUCUCUUAUAC
This 301-nucleotide ribosomal RNA is filed under the name uncultured bacterium. RNAcentral's name for it is "partial 16S ribosomal RNA". It matches the Rfam family "Bacterial small subunit ribosomal RNA", at positions 509 to 807 of the family's 1533-position model. The record is from RNAcentral.